GACGAACGCUGGCGGCGUGCCUAAUACAUGCAAGUUGAGCGAUGAAGAUUGGUGCUUGCACCAAUUUGAAGAGCAGCGAACGGGUGAGUAACGCGUGGGGAAUCUGCCUUUGAGCGGGGGACAACAUUUGGAAACGAAUGCUAAUACCGCAUAACAACUUUAAACAUAAGUUUUAAGUUUGAAAGAUGCAAUUGCAUCACUCAAAGAUGAUCCCGCGUUGUAUUAGCUAGUUGGUGAGGUAAAGGCUCACCAAGGCGAUGAUACAUAGCCGACCUGAGAGGGUGAUCGGCCACAUUGGGACUGAGACACGGCCCAAACUCCUACGGGAGGCAGCAGUAGGGAAGCUUCGGCAAUGGACGAAAGUCUGAACGAGCAACGCCGCGUGAGUGAAGAAGGUUUUCGGAUCGUAAAACUCUGUUGGUAGAGAAGAACGUUGGUGAGAGUGGAAAGCUCAUCAAGUGACGGUAACUACCCAGAAAGGGACGGCUAACUACGUG
RNAcentral lists this ribosomal RNA (497 nucleotides) under uncultured bacterium. RNAcentral describes it as "partial 16S ribosomal RNA". It matches the Rfam family "Bacterial small subunit ribosomal RNA", at positions 28 to 507 of the family's 1533-position model. The record is from RNAcentral.